RNA transcript from Nyctereutes procyonoides (raccoon dog), 2579 nucleotides. It is a transcript of the gene named SH2 domain containing 3A, with no coding region annotated. The record is from RefSeq and is a predicted model, not a curated record. The transcript is spliced from 11 exons. NCBI's taxonomy places the organism in Eukaryota, Metazoa, Chordata, Mammalia, Carnivora, Canidae.
GACCCACGGGCGCGGCCGGAGAAGGUGGGGCCGGAGGGACGGAGGGCGGGCCUCCACCUUCCCCGGCCCUGCCCCAGCCUCUCGCUAGCUCCGCGGGUCCCGGCCCAGAUGUGGAAGACUGAGGACUGUUGAAAGUACAGAGUUCAGCCCCUGCACCCUCUGCCCCCAAGAGCUCCAUGCAGGUGCCACAGGAUGGAGAGGACUUUGCCAGCCAGCCGUGGUACCACGGCCCCCUAUCCCGUCAGAAGGCUGAGGCCCUCCUGCAGCAAGAUGGGGACUUCUUGGUUCGUGCCUCCAGAUCCCGUGGGGGCCACCCAGUGAUCUCCUGCCGCUGGCAGGGCUCAGCCUUACACUUCGAGGUGCUCCGUGUGGCCCUCCGUCCCCGUCCAGGCCGGCCCACGGCCCUCUUUCAGCUGGAAGAUGAACGUUUCCCAAGCCUGCCCUCCCUAGUUCUCAGCUAUGUGACUGGGCAGCGUCCACUGUCCCAAGCCACAGGGGCUGUGGCCUCCAGGCCCGUGAUACGACAAGGACCUAUUCGACGCAGCUUUAGUGAGGACACCCUCCUAGAGAGCCCAGCUCGGAUAGAGCUGCACAGGGCUAGGAAGCGGAGUGACAGUCAGCCCGCAGGUUUGGAGCACAUGGGGCUGUCAGGAGAAGACCACUCAGGACCAGGAGCCUCACCUGUGCCCACAUGUGCCCUCCCUCGGAUGGGUAGUGACCCGGUGUUGCUGAAGACGCCAGCUUCUCUGGGGUCUGUUGUUGAUGGCCUCAGGGCCUCCGAUGGGCAGCUUCAUGCCAAGGCACCAAACAAACCACCUCGAACACCCUCACUGGUGCUGCAUGAUGAAUCUGGACGCCCCCCAACAUACUGUGAGCUGGUACCCCGAGUGCCCAGUGCCCAAGAAACACCCACUGGCCACAGUGGCCCAGAGACAGAGGCCUCAUGGUGGGAAGCCAAUGAGGAAGAGGAGGAAGAGGACAGAAGCUUUGCAAGACCAAAGGCUGAGGUCUUUUUCUGCCCCCCUAACAACCUCUUCUGCCUGCUGGGCCCCCAGAAUCGGCCCCUGGAACCUAAAGUCCUGAGUACUCUCCGUGACCUCUUCCUGGAGCACCAUCCUGGGAGCACAGCCCUCCACCUAUUAUUGGUGGACUGCCAGGCUACAGGCCUCCUAGGAGUGACCAAGGUUCAGCGGGGCGCCAUGGGGGUCACCUCUGGCCUGGAGCUGCUCACACUUCCCCAUGGGCAUCGCUUGAGGUUGGAGCUUCUGGAGAGACACGAGGCGCUGGCGCUGGCCGGGGCGCUGGCCGUGCUGGGCUGCUCGGGGCCGCUGGAGGAGCGCGCGGCCACCCUGCGGGGCCUGGUGGAGCUGGCGCUGGCGCUGCGGCCCGGGGCGGCAGGGGACCUGCCUGGACUGGCUGCGGUCAUGGGCGCCCUGCUCAUGCCCCAGGUGUCCCGGCUGGAACGCACGUGGCGCCAGCUCAGGAGGAGCCACACACAGGCCGCGCUGGCCUUCGAGCAGGAGCUGAAGCCGCUGAUGCGGGCGCUGGACGAGGGCGCUGGACCCUGCGCCCCGGGCGAGGUGGCGCUGCCGCACGUAGUGCCCGCGGUGCGCCUGCUGGAAGGCCAGGAACUCCCGGGGCCGCUAGACGAGAGCUGCGAGCGGCUGCUGCGCACCCUGCACCGGGCGCGUCUGGUGGCCCGGGACGCGCCCCAGUUCCGUGAGGCAGCGGCCCGGCGCCUGCGAGUCCUAAUACCAGAUCCGUGCCACAGAUGAGGAAACAAACACAGUGAGGUGCAACAACUAGAAUUCAAGGCCAGUCUUGACUCCAAAGGAUCCCCCUUCGCCCCUACGUCAUAAAGACUCCGUAACUACAAAGUUCCAAGUGGAACUUUACACCAAUCAAAGUUUCGUACAAGAGGUUCAAUGCAAUGGCAAAAUAUAACUUGGCUGCCCGUCCACAAGUGGCCAGCGUCAUUCCCAUUAUGUAAGAGGACUGGGAAGACGAUCUCGUUGCUUGGAAGGACCAAUUACUGUAGUAAAAGAAUAAUAGAUGUCUUUACAUUGAACCAUCUUUGCAUUACUGGGAUAACACCCCAUUGAUCAUGACUUGUCUUCAAAAAAUACUAUGUUUUUCUUAUGGUAAAAUACACAUAACACAAGAAAGGCCCCACUCGAACCAUUUUUAAGUGUACGAUUCCACGGCCAUUAAGUAUAUCCACACUGUUGUGCGACCAUCUCCACCACGCGCAAUAUUAUUUUUAAAAUAUAUCAUUGGAUUUGUCUGGCUAGGAUUCUCCAUCUAAGAUCCUAAGUGAAAUAAAAUGAGUCCAGAAUUUGAAUUUCUUGAAUUCUUGCUAAAUGAUAGGGGAAUUGAUUCCACCAGCCUCCUAAAUGAGCUGACACCUUUUCACUCUUUUUUUUGUUUGCUGGAAUGAAUUGUUUCCUUUUAAGUGUGGUAGAAAUCACCUAUAAAACCACUGGGGCUUGGGCCUUGGGGCGUGUUAGAGAGAGUCUGGAGUACCAUUUCAGUACAGUUCAUUUAUUAUUUUAUUUUGUUCCUUGCCUACCUACCCCAAA